AACACGCUGACAAAUGCUGUUCUAAUUCCAGCCCUUUCUCUCAGGCCAGUCACCUUUCCACCUCAACAUUCUGCUGACAAGGCUCAGGAUGCAACAGUCCAAAGCACACCUUUCAGCUUUUGGAGUUGAGACUACUGAGGUGAAGACUGUGUCAAAGAGGUCAUAAAUAAAGCCACUGCUUUGGAUAAUUAA
Long non-coding RNA from Callorhinus ursinus (northern fur seal), 192 nucleotides. RefSeq lists it as uncharacterized. Lineage: Eukaryota; Metazoa; Chordata; Mammalia; Carnivora; Otariidae. The record is from RefSeq and is a predicted model, not a curated record.